GUUGGUGGGGUAAUUGCCUACCAAGGCUGUGAUGGGUAGCCGGCCUGAGAGGGUGACCGGCCACACUGGGAUUGAGAUACGGCCCAGACUCCUUCGGGAGGCAGCAGUCGAGAAUCUUCCACAAUGGACGAAAGUCUGAUGGAGCGACGCCGCGUGAGUGAUGAAGGCCCUACGGGUUGUAAAACUCUGUCAGGAGAGAAGAACCGCCGGGAUGCCAAUACCAUCCCGGUCUGACGUUAUCUCCAGAGGAAGCUCCGGCUAACUCCGUGCCAGCAGCCGCGGUAAUACGGGGGGAGCAAGCGUUGUCCGGAAUUAUUGGGCGUAAAGGGCGUGUAGGCGGUUAGGUCAGUCGAAUGUGAAAUCCCACGGCUCAACCGUGGAACUGCGUUCGGUACUGCCUGACUUGAGUAUGUGAGAGGUGUGUGGAAUUCCUGGUGUAGCGGUGGAAUGCGUAGAUAUCAGGAAGAACACCGAUGGCGAAGGCAGCACACUGGCGCAAUACUGACGCUGAGACGCGAAAGCGUGGGGAGCAAACAGGAUUAGAUACCCUGGUAGUCCACGCCGUAAACGAUGGGUACUGGGUUUCGGGAGUCUCAACCCUCUCGGAGCCGUAGCUAACGCGUUAA
Molecule: ribosomal RNA, 626 nt
Filed under: uncultured bacterium
Lineage: Bacteria
Description: bacterial SSU rRNA
Rfam family: Bacterial small subunit ribosomal RNA
Source: RNAcentral